RNAcentral lists this long non-coding RNA (2370 nucleotides) under Olea europaea subsp. europaea. Lineage: Eukaryota; Viridiplantae; Streptophyta; Magnoliopsida; Lamiales; Oleaceae. The record is from RNAcentral.
CCGGAUGGUUACACUUCUUGUUUUUUCAAGAAUGCAUGGGGGAUUAUUGGUGAUGAGUUUGUGGGCGCAAUCAUGGAGUUCUUCUCUUCGGGUUCUAUGCUCAAACAACUCAACCAUUCCGUUAUUGCUUUGGUGCCUAAGUCGGAUCAUGCUUCGCAUGUUGGGGAUUUUAGACCUAUUUCUUGUUGUAACGUGAUCUAUAAAGUGAUCACCAAAAUUCUUGCAUCAAGAUUAAGGCCUAUAUUGGGAGAUAUUGUUGACCAAGCACAAGCCGCCUUCAUUGAAGGUAGAAGCAUGACGGAAAAUAUUCAUCUUGCUCAAGAGCUUAUGAGGCAAUACAAUAGGAAGAUAGUUGUUCCGAGAUGCCUCCUUAAAAAUGAUAUUAGCAAAGCCUUUGACUCUGUUAGUUGGGACUUCCUCAAGAGUGUUCUUGAAGGGUUGAAUUUUCCAUUGAGAUUUGUUCAAUGAAUUAUGGAGUGUGUUACCACUCCGACAUAUUCGGUUGCUUUGAAUGGAAGUAUGCAUGGUUUCUUCAAAGGCGGGAAAGGCCUUCGGCAAGAUAAUCCACUCUCCCCUUUCUUGUUCGUUAUUUGUCUUGAAUAUUUUUCUAGAAUGAUCAAGGAUGCUACAAAUGAUAGUGAUUUUAAUUAUCACCCAAAAUGUGGUCCCCUCAAGAUAACUCACUUGGCUUUUGCGGAUGACUUGAUGCUUUUUGCAAUGAGUGAUGCUAUGUUCGUUGAAAUUCUUAUCGAUUGCCUUGACAAAUUUGGUUUAGCAUCGGGUUUAAAAAUCAACACUAUGAAAUCCAGCAUCUACACAGCUGGAAUUUUUGGGUAUGAGCUUCAAACUAUCAUGAAAAUCUCAAAAUUUUCGCAAGGAUCUAUGCCUUUUCGUUACUUGGGUAUUCCUCUUGCAUCGGAGAAGCUUAAAGUGAGUUUUUAUGCACCGUUUCUUGAAAAAAUAGCGGGUUAUAUUGGAGUUUGGAGUUGUGCAUCCUUAUCCUAUGCCUACAAGUUGGAACUCAUUAAAGGCCGUGCUUCAAGGUGUUGAAUGUUUUUGACUUUCUGUCUUCCCCAUUCCGACUACAAUUAUUUCAAGAAUUGUUAGCUUUUGUCGGAACUUCCUUUGGGGAUCAAAGAAGCCAUUGGUUGCAUGGAAGAAUUUAUGCCUUCCAAAAGCGGAAGGGGGCCUUGGAUUGAAAGACUUGGAAUUUAGCGUUACUUGCUAAAUCCCUUUGGAACAUCCACAAGAAGAAGAACACCUUAUGGAUUAGAUGGGUUCAUCAUGCUUAUCUUAACGGCACUUGUAUUUGGGAGGUUCGUCCCAAAAAGGAUCACUCCCCACUUUUCAAGAAAUUACUUGAAAUCAGGGAUUUUAUUUCUGCUAAGGAAGCUGUCCAGCACACUGUAUUUUCGAGAUAGCAACAUGAAACAACGGCUCAACAUUUUCAGAUUGAUCAGGGGGUUAACGGGGACACAUCGACUGAUGGUAAGACAUUAAAUGGACGGUUUUUUGGGGCUGGGAGUGCUCUGCACGACCAGAAUUCGGGCCCUUCAUUCAGCAGCAUUUCUGGCAGGCAGACAGCUUUCUUCGGUAGGCAGUUUUUUGAAUCUUCGACUCAAAAUCUGGGUUGUUCUAUGCAUGAUAAAUUCUCAACAAAAAUUGCCUAUGAAUACUUUAGGCAUAAAGGUACUUUGAAGCCGUGUGAAGGAGAAGUUUGGAAGCCGUGCAUCACUCCGAAGCAUUCUUUCUUGCUUUGGUUAGCAGCCCAAUCAAAGCUACUAACUAAAGACAAACUACUCUUCUUGGAUAUUGAUCGGAGGUGUGUCUUUUGAGGAAACUUGUGACCAUCUAUUCUUUAAGUGCUCCUUCACUUCCUCAUUAUGGGGGAGCAUUAGGAGAUGACUUGGCAUCACAAGAUCUAUGUCUACACUUGCCAUCGCGCUUAAGUGGAUGAAAAAGGAGAAUCGUGGAACUUCGUGGCUGACCAAGACGAAGAGAGUUGCUCUUGCUAGCACAGUUUACUACAUAUGGCUUACGAGGAAUAGGAAGAUUUUCUGUUGUCUGAAGGUGGUACACGAGCAGUAAGGGUAGGGAAGAUGGAUAUGCUGCGGUUCAGCAUUUUGUAAUUCAAUGUGGGAAUUUGUAAAUUAUUUUUUUUGAUCUGUAUAUACAAGAAUCUUGUUACUUUGAGGGAUGUGUUUGUAUCAUUAACAUUGCUCAAAUUCAUUUGUGUUAAUGAGGUUUUGUUAAUGAAAUUAGAUUUGGCAAGGAAAAAAUGUUAUACCCUUUGCCGGCCUGCCUUGUAGCAACUUUAUGAACUAAUACAGUUGAUCAUGAUUUGCACCUGGAUCACACCAGAGAAGAUUG